UACGGGGGGGAGCAAGCGUUGUUCGGAUUUACUGGGCGUAAAGGGCGCGUAGGCGGUCGUGACAAGUCACUUGUGAAAUCUCCGGGCUUAACUCGGAACGGUCAAGUGAUACUGUCGGGACUAGAGUACAGAAGGGGGCAACUGGAAUUCUCGGUGUAGCGGUGAAAUGCGUAGAUAUCGAGAGGAACACCUGCGGCGAAGGCGGGUUGCUGGGCUGAUACUGACGCUGGAGGCGCGAAAGCUAGGGGAGCAAACGGG
RNAcentral lists this ribosomal RNA (258 nucleotides) under uncultured bacterium. RNAcentral's name for it is "partial 16S ribosomal RNA". It matches the Rfam family "Bacterial small subunit ribosomal RNA", at positions 524 to 776 of the family's 1533-position model. The record is from RNAcentral.